This 897-nucleotide ribosomal RNA is filed under the name Triticum aestivum (bread wheat). Its description in RNAcentral is "partial small subunit ribosomal RNA". Lineage: Eukaryota; Viridiplantae; Streptophyta; Magnoliopsida; Poales; Poaceae. The record is from RNAcentral.
AUGGAGACAUGGCAAAUCUUCUUCGGCGUUAUCCUCUUCGCCCUCCCGCUGACCCUCCUCCUUUUACGCACCGGUAAGACCGGCGGCGGCGCCCGGCGGCCCAUCCCGCCUGGCCCGCCGUCCUUUCCGGUGCUGGGCAGUAUGGUGUGGCUCACGAACUCGCCCGCAGACGGGGAACUCCUCCUCCGGCGUCUGUUUGCGCGGUAUGGUCCCAUCGUGUCGCUGCGCGUGGGCUCCCGGCUCUCCAUCUUCGUCGCCGACCGCCGCCUCGCGCACGCGGCACUCGUCGAGCGCGGUGCCGCUCUGGCCGACCGCCCGACCCUCGCGUCCGUCAGGAUCAUGGGCGAGAAUGACAACACCAUCACGCGCGCCAGCUACGGGCCCGUGUGGCGCCUCCUCCGCCGCAACCUCGUCUCCGAGACGCUGCACCCGUCCCGCGUCCGACUCUUCGCGCCCGCGCGCUCCUGGGUACGCCGCGUGCUCGUCGACAAGCUGCGGGACGAGUCGUCCUCCGGCGGGGCGGCCGUUGUGGAGACGUUCCAGUACGCCAUGUUCUGCCUCCUCGUGCUCAUGUCCUUCGGCGAGCGGCUCGACGAGCCCGCGGUGCGCGCGAUCGCCGCCGCGCAGCGCGACCAGCUGCUCUACAUCACCAAGAAAAUGGCUGUCUUCGCCUUCUUCCCGUCGCUCACAAAGCACGUCUUUCGUGACCGCCUCCAGACCGCGCACGCCAUGCGGCGGCGGCAGAAGGAGCAGGAGGUCGCCGGCGACCUCCUCGUGGGCAGAGAAUUAUAUAUCCACGUACAGCUACGAAAGGGUUUACGUAAUCUUUCUAAAUAUACUUCUCUGCCCCUCCUGAUUUUCAGGUGGGUGGGGCCCCUUCCUCCCCUUCCCCAAUGA